GUUCGAGGUUAUAGUGUGCUACUCAUGGCGACCAGGCUUAUGUUUGAGAAUUCUUGUGAAAUUGGGGUUUUCUCCAAGCUCACUAAUGCUUACUGCUUGGUUGCAAUUGGUGGCUCUGAGAAUUUCUACAGUACCUUCGAAACUGAAUUAGGUGGUGUCAUUCCGGUUGUUAAAGCAUCUAUUGAUGGCACUCGCAUUAUUGGCCGUCUUUGUGCUGGA
RNAcentral lists this unclassified non-coding RNA (219 nucleotides) under Hevea brasiliensis (rubber tree). The record is from RNAcentral. Lineage: Eukaryota; Viridiplantae; Streptophyta; Magnoliopsida; Malpighiales; Euphorbiaceae.